Molecule: transfer RNA, 73 nt
Filed under: Agrilus planipennis (emerald ash borer)
Lineage: Eukaryota; Metazoa; Arthropoda; Insecta; Coleoptera; Buprestidae
Rfam family: tRNA
About the family: Transfer RNA (tRNA) molecules are approximately 80 nucleotides in length.
Source: Rfam by way of RNAcentral
UCUCUCGUAGCUUAGUAGUCAGAGUAAUGGUUUGAGAAGCGAAAGGCCGCGGGUUCGAUUCCCGACGAGGGUG